This is a long non-coding RNA of Esox lucius (northern pike), 3181 nucleotides long. NCBI's taxonomy places the organism in Eukaryota, Metazoa, Chordata, Actinopteri, Esociformes, Esocidae. The record is from Ensembl.
GAAAUUGUGUUACUUGAGGUGUUCUAAUUACAUUUGGUUCUGUUGUGGAAAUUCUUGAACUGAUGUAUACUUUGUCUUAUACAUGUAUAAAUGGGUUACUAGUUAAAGAUGGCGAGCCCCCAUGUUUGGAUAAGAAAAGGAACGUGGUAAAGAGGGAUCUGGUGUUUGCCCUAGGGGCAUCCUUGACGGGCACCAGCAGAUUAGAGGGUUACUCGUAAAUUAGUAAAUCUGUAUAACCCUUUAGUGUCUAUCUGUUGUUUGUCCAGACAUUGUGACUCCUCAAGAGUUGAGAAGGUUACGCAUGUGAGGGAGGACAGCCUGUCCCUUUGUUUGAAGCCCAGGAUAUGUGAUGGAACAAGGGGAACGUGUUUUAUUGACAAGACAGUUGGGCAGCGUCUUACCACACCCCUUUUUCUUCUAUAAAUACGAGUCUCCUCGGAUGAUUGUUUUCAUUGAGAAAUUUGGUCUGCACCCUGACACUGAGGUCAUUUACAAAGAUUCCUCGAUAACAGAAGUGGACCCGGACAUCUUUUCCAAACUGUUGAAUAAAGGAGAGGAUUUGUUGAAGGUCUCUGUGAAUGAUGAUGGUCACUGAAGUUUUUCAAACAAAGCCGAGGGGGAGAAAAUCUUUCAAAAAACAAAGUCACUGUCAGAUGGAACCAGACGACAGCUUGUGAAUAUGUUGGUUGCUGAUAUGGUGGAGGUGCAUGGACGGAGGCUGUACGAAUCAACUAUGCCCAAGGAACACUUCUAUGAUCCAGUGUCGGGUUCCGGGUACCUUUCUUGGCGUCUUAAGACUGGGCAACAAAGUUUAUUUGAUCAGUCUAGGUCUUGGUUGGCAGAUGAACAGUGCAAUGCUGGUCCAAAAGCUGUAAGAGGCUCAGCUAUUGCCGUAAAACAACUGACUGAUAAUGAGUGUGAAGAAGCAAUAGCUGUGAUGAAUCAUUCCUCUGAUGAAGCACUAGUUUCAGAGAAAAUGAAGGCCACUUUUGAACACAGGCAGAAACUGGUCCAUGAUCCUGACAAGUCUGUGGAGGUCCUGGACACGUUCCCCAGAUUUCUUGACAUAACUGGCCUUAUUGAGCAGGACUUCCUGAAGCUUUUCAGAGAGGAGACAUCAGGGAAGUUCUUAGCCAGAUGGCCAACGUUUUUCAGACCACACAUCAUCAAAGAUGCCAAAACGCUAGGACCCUGUCUCCAUGUUGAGGCGCUAAUACCGUCAAGGUGAUGGUGGUAAGUUCAGUUAUUUUGAGAUUUUACCAUGUCAGUUUAAUACUUAUGACCCUAUACUUAUAACACUAACUGUUUGGGAUGGGACCGUGAUAUUGCUUCACUCUGCUUGCUGCUGCAUCUCAUUCCUCCAACAUCAAAGGGUCACAAAAAGUCUGCAAAAAUCAUUGGUGAGGUAUCUGUUAACAGUUUUUCUUAAUAACACAUCUUAAAAUGCUGCAUUCUCAGUGCUGCAUUCUCAUAGAAAGAACUGUUGCAGAAUAUGAAAAAUUGUGCAUUUUAAUAAGAAAACAAUGUAUUCUUAACAAUUCACACUUAUCCUUUUUACAAGAGAUUAAUAUAUUUUUAUGUUUAUUUUUUUUGCCUUUACAGGUUGGUGUAAGCAUUUCAAUCUUCUUUUCCAGUCUGGAACCUUCUCAGCCCUACCUGCUUUGCGUCAGCACACAAAAAAACUAUAUCCAGAAGUACAAUGUCAUCAUUGACAAAAAGGAUAUUUCAUGCCACAUCAAUUGCAGCAUUUGAUGAGCUAUUUAAAACACAUUUUGUAUUCGCAACAUCAUACAACAAGGCACAGGAUGGGUUUUACACCUUUAUCCAAACAGCAGUUUACAGCAUUGAUGUUGGUAAAACAAAAGAAAAGGCAAGAGUGAGGGAACUAAGGGCCAGGUAUCUUAAUCUGACAAACUAAUACAUUGUUCUUCAGUCAUGUUUACAUGUUUUGUUUGUAAAACCUUACACCAGAAUUCAUAUUCAAUUUGUCGCCAUCUAAAGUUUAAUCCUGGCUUGUAUCCAGGAAGAUUUUUGCGUUUGCAUUGUGCGGGGGCUAAAUGUACAUCAGCCUUUGGAAUUUACUCUGGAUUUAAAAAGCAUUUACUUCAAAUUCAUGGACAAUUCAUGGUUUCUUCCAAUUCUUCUGAGAUGGAUGGCAGUAGAAACGAGAGUGAGGGUCUCUCAGAGUCACCCAGUGGAUGUGAUAGUCGUGCUUCUGUUCCAUAUAAUUUUGUCAAUGAUUUGGCAUUGAGUGAUGAGGAUGAAAGUGGAGAAUUGAUAAAGAAGAGCUCCUCUGGAACUGAGAUUAACUUGAAUAUGUGUGCAUCUGCACAGUUACAAGCUUCAAAAGUAGCUCAUAGCACAGUUCAGGCCAUAGUUGAGUCAAUUGAGGAAUUGGUUGCUGACAUGCAAACCAAAACGAAGGAGCCCGUUUUCAGCAACAUUCCAUCAGAGCUUCAUUAGACAGUUGACAGAGCUUUCUGUUCCAUUGAAAAUCCAUUGACAAAAUGUAAUAUAGAAGCUAAACGGCAAAGAUACUAUGAAGACAAGUGGCAUAUUGUCCAACCUAUAGAAUAUGUUCUAGGUGUUAGAUUUGAUGCAAGAUCUGACAGAACAACUGGGAUAUACAGCCAGAUUCCUGUUACAUAUAAGUUCAUUUAUGUGCCUGUCCUCAAAACUAUUCAGUCAAUGUUCAGAAACAAAGAUAUCUUGGAGGGCCCGUUGCUGUCCCUGUCCAGAAUCCUCCUGGUUGUGUUGCAGAUUGAGAUGAUGCAUGACGAUUUCAGCUGCCACUGUGCUGACACCUCCCCUGUGUUGUCCCUUUCCUUGUUCAUCUGGUCAUGCUUCCGACCUGGUCUAAGUUUAAAUAGACUCUAGACUCAGCCCACAUGCAUUUAUUAAUUAUUACAAUUGUAAUCUUAAUAUGUUCACCUGGCACAGCUAGAAGAGGACUGGUCACCCCUCUGAGCUUUUCCUAGCCACUGAAAUUCAACACUACUGUUGUUUUCUCCUUGGGGUUUAAGGCCAGGUGCUUUAUAAAAGCCUUUUGUGUAACAUCUGCUGAUGUUAAGAGGCCAUUACAGUAGUCAACCCUACUAGAGAUAAAAGCAUGGAUGAGCUUCUCUUGGUUAUUUUUUAGAUGAUAGAAUGCUGUUUUGGUUUUAAGGGCCUGAGAAUCCAG